UUGAACGCUGGCGGCAUGCUUUACACAUGCAAGUCGAACGGUAACAGGUUAAGCUGACGAGUGGCGAACGGGUGAGUAAUGCAUCGGAACGUGCCCGAUCGUGGGGGAUAACGCAGCGAAAGCUGCGCUAAUACCGCAUACGAUCUGAGGAUGAAAGCGGGGGACCGUAAGGCCUCGCGCGAUCGGAGCGGCCGAUGUCAGAUUAGGUAGUUGGUGGGGUAAAGGCUCACCAAGCCGACGAUCUGUAGCUGGUCUGAGAGGACGACCAGCCACACUGGGACUGAGACACGGCCCAGACUCCUACGGGAGGCAGCAGUGGGGAAUUUUGGACAAUGGGCGCAAGCCUGAUCCAGCCAUGCCGCGUGAGUGAAGAAGGCCUUCGGGUUGUAAAGCUCUUUCAGACGGAAAGAAAUCGGGCGCGUGAAUAGCGUGCCUGGAUGACGGUACUGUCAGAAGAAGCACCGGCUAACUACGU
Molecule: ribosomal RNA, 475 nt
Filed under: uncultured bacterium
Lineage: Bacteria
Description: bacterial SSU rRNA
Rfam family: Bacterial small subunit ribosomal RNA
Source: RNAcentral